GCUACAUGUAGCGGCAAAAGAUGCGUAGGAGUCCCUUUCAUGCCUUUCAGAGCUUCCAGUUUUCUUGGAAACAUAAGUAAUAUACAUGCGAUGGUAUCAGUCCUAGCACCUUCAUCACAAAGGGUACCUUUGACCGGAGCGUGACCCUGCUGGAGGUGUGCGGGAGCUGGCCUGAGGGCUUCGGGCUGCGGCACAUGUCCUCCAUGGAGCACACGGAGGAGGGGCUCCGGGAGCGGCUCGCUGACGCCAUGGCUGAGUCCCCAAGCAGGGAUGUCGUGGGAUCGGGAACAGACACAGCCCUUGAAGUAGCAGUAGGACACAUCACCCCUGAGAGACACAUGGCUGUGAAGUGCUUGGAGCUUCAGCGAGAGGGAAGCAUCGAGACUCUGAGUAAUAGCUCAGGCUCCACCAGCGGCAGCAUACCAAGAAACUUUGAUGGCUACCGAUCUCCGCUCCCCACCAACGAGAGCCAGCCCCUCAGCCUCUUCCCCACCGGCUUCCCAUAGGUGCCAGCUACCUGCUUCCAACUGGCUUGGCCCACACCUGCUGGAGGGAGGAGAAGCCCCCCUCCAGCCCUACCCUCAAUCUCUGCUCCUCUUUCAUCAACCACCUUCCCCAAGCUUAGUGACAACAGCCACCCAUCCUACCUGGAUCGAGAAGAGGCCCUGCUCCGAAGCACCUGACCUCGAGACACCCUGACCUCUGCUGCUGUCAGUGGGGGCUGUGGCCAAGAGAGACUGCAGCAGCUCAGUCCCCUCCUCUGUUUGCACAUGAUGUCCAGCAUUGGACCUGCUUUUGUAUUUUCUGACCUUCCUCACAGGGGGCCUAGAACAGUGACCAGAUCUUGGAGCCUAGGUGGAGACAGGGCAGAUGGUCCCACCAGGCACUUUGGCCCUGAAUGGAUAGUCUCAGCCCCAGCCCACUCCAGGCUGUGAUACACACUGCCCCCAGCUUCCCUUGUUUAGCCCCUCUCCAGCAUGGAGUGAACUGAGGCCCAGAAUGUCAGGGAAGGAGGGAGGAAGAAAAGGAAACCUUCUUCCCCUUCCUCCUUGCUUUCCCCAAUGGCUCAUGGGAAGAAUUUGUAUUUCUUAUUUUUAAGCCCUUUUACCCUGGUCUUGUACUGUUCAGUGAAGGAAACUGGUUACUGAGGCCCUGUUGAAAAGUGCACGUCUUGUCCAAUAAAUCACGCUGCAAUUGGUGUCCAUCCCUGAGUUGCUGGGGUCAGAGUCCUCUCCAAACACCAAGCAGAGUCCUGUGGGCCUGACCACGGGCCCCAGCUCCCAGCAUACCCCAACACGUGCAACACACAGGGGGAGCUGGAGAGGGGGAAGUAGGAAAGGCAGGGAGAAUCUUUGCUCUCUGGUUUGGGUGAGGCCUGAUUUAAGUCCAUCUGCCAAGCUGCUUGCCCAUUACCAGAGCAGGUGAAGUCUGGGGUUGCUGGGCUUGGACUCUCCCUGCUGGGGGCCAUGAUGUCUGGCACCCGAGGUCUGGUGGGUUCCUGUGGGAAGAGAACUUGACCAAUGCCCUGGCCUCACCUUUAGGGCACCUUGGAAUUGCCUCUUCCAGCUCAGAAGGUUCGAGGGCAGUCAGAUGAAAGUGACUGUGUCACGGAACAUGGCUGGCACCCCAGGUGACACGUUCCUGAUUUUGCUCUUCCCUCCUCCCAGUCUGGACCUAAGUGAAUGGCAACAAAGACAUGAGUAGGAGAGCAAAAGAGUGUGUUCAACAGAAAGGAGAUUAACAGUGGUCCUAGUCUCCUGUUCCCUGGCCCAUACUCCAGAUACCCCAGGAGGCCUUGGAGGAUUGAAGGAAACCCACUGAGCCAAAAGCUGUGGUUUGGGGUGAAGUUUAAUGGAACAGCCAAAGAGGGCUUGAGUUCGAAGACAGCGAGGCCAUCAGCUGGGCCCUUCACGCCCAGCAUCCCACCCCUGCUGCCUGAGAAGAGAUUUAGUCUUCAGUCUCCUCCACGGGGUUUGUUGGGCAUGUGGGGGGAAGGGUGCCCGUGCCACAGUGAGGAAUGUGGGAAACACAAGGUGGGCCAGCUGGUGACAAUGGCCACAGGAGCAGCAUCUUGUCCCCAUUUUGGCUACACUGGAAUUCCUGAAUGCCUGUGAACUGCCCUUACCCCCAGCCAGGGCGGCAUUUCAGUCAAAAAGGGACAAGGGGGGGGUGCCACCAGGCUGCCUGCACAUUUUGUAUGUGGCUGGGCUCCCCUGGGAUGGGUCCAGAAGCUCCAGGGAGCAUGAGCCCCUCGCAGGGAACCCAUGGGCAGCUUAGAGUCAGGCGUCCUCCCCAGGCCAGCCUUUCCACUCCAGUGGGGGUAAAACAGCUGUGGCCUCCUCCAGUCAGGGAAAGUGGUGGGUGUAGGGCUGGACUUACUGGCUGAGCUUGCAGGACAAUCUGGUUAUUCAUCUGCUCAGCAGUCAGGGCACUUCUUUCAGUAUGUGGGGGAAGGGUGAGGAUCAGAGAGCUCAGAUAAGCUGGCCCCAGGGCGGCUGCCACUAGAACUCAGGUUAUCAGAAAGGCCCUGGGUCUGGCCCCAGGCUAAUUGGGAAGGUUAUAGACCCUGCCAUAACCUGUAAUCAGCUGGAAGUGAGAGCUGGGCCCCCAGGCAGGCAGGCCCACUGGCCCUGUCCCCCACAGAUAAGAUCCAGGACAGUAUCCACCUCCACCCACACCCAAGCAGACCUCAUAGCAUUACCUAGAAGGUCAUCCGAACAUGAAUCUAAAUGUGGCCGGACCUGGUGACCUUGAGGGAGCCAAGCGACCUCCCCGAUUCUCAAAGCACUACCUGCUCAAUGGGCAAAGUACUGUGGACUCCCUCUCAGUCUGAUGGAGGAAAGUAUCUUCAUGAUCUGCGGAAGCUGGUGGGAGCUGGGCUGGCAACUCAAAAGCUUGAUGUGGGAAGAGGGUCAGUGGUUCCCAGGCAGGUUCAGACACAGGCACCACAGGGGCCAGCUCCCCUGCAGGCCUGGAGGCCAGGCCAACAGCCACAACUGGGGCUAGUUUCUCCUGGCUAAUUUUUCAUUUUGGAAGAUCAGAGACUUUGUAAACUAGAAGGUACCUGAGAAUGCUCUUGGGUCCCUGUUAUGCCAACGACAAGUCUGGCCCCUCUAUUCCUGGCUGCUUCACACCCCAACCAGUUCCCUUAGAAGGGCCCAAAUUUGCACUGAACUCUGUCCUGGGCUCCCGUGGGAUUCCGCCCACUGACCCUUGUGCUGUACCCCUUCAAACUCCCAGGCUAGCUUUGAAACUAUUACCUUGCUGCUGUGUAACUGGGAAGCAGCGGCUCCUGCGGACCUACACCUGUAUGCCCUAGAGACAAAGCUAGAGCACUUCCUGUACAUCUUGUAUUCAAAGCAAGAGCCCAGUGGAGGGCUGGAGGCCCUGGAGUGUCUCUGUGGCCUUCCUCCUUACACAUGGUUCUAUAGCCAGUAGCAGUGGCAUGGUCUUCUAAGGAGUAGAUCUGGGUGUGCUCCUCCUAAGUCCCAGAGCCCCAUGUCAGCCCUGCCACCAGCAGCCACCUGACCUUGGGUGAAAAUGCACCACUGGACUUCAGGGUGCCCAUCUGUAGAAGAGAGGAGUGGGGAACAGGAACAGAGCGACAGCUUACAUAGGCUAAGGGGAAGCUGCAGGUCAGAAGAGCAAAAGGGGAUUUGGAGGUGCCGAGGAUGACAGACCAGGCCAGGUAGCUCAUAGGGCUGGGACAUGGGAGGGUCUGGGGAGGCUCAGCUGGCGCCCAAACUGUUUUCCCAAAGCUGCUCCAGAGGAUCCUAAGGCAAAUCAACUUCCUGGUGAGCGCUGGCGGACCAGCCCCGCCCCUCUGUCCCAGGUGGGCCGGUGCUAGAGGGUCUUUCCUGAACUUUACCCCCUCUAGCCACUCAGCAGAAUGCCAGUUCAUGGUCCUUCGAUCCCAGACACCUGCACCCCUGUCUCCUGCUGCGCGUGUCCGUGCACACGCACGUUGAAGACUCGCGCCUCACUUUUGCCGUCCCCUGCCUCCCAAGUGGACAAACUCUAUCCUCGAAACCGCGGCCCAGAGCAGUGAGUAGUCUGCAGGUCCCAGGUUAACCGGUACCCCAAACUCUGGGAAGUCGCCCAAGUCGGGCAGGGACGCGUGGCCUGGUUUCCCCGCUUCCGCAGGACCUCUCAGGUGCAGGUGAGGCCCCUGAGAGCCAAGUCUGUCGCUGCCCGUCGCAGCCAGAUUGGUCCUCGCCUUGCAUCACCCUGGGGGACAUCGGCCAGACCUAACUGGAGGAAGUGGUCCGGCCAGUCCUGGCCCAAGACCACGGCCAGGAGGGGGUAGCAGCUAGAAGCCUUUGCUCUAAAUAGUUUGUCUUUAGACUGCUUGCCAAUACCAUA
This is a long non-coding RNA of Fukomys damarensis (Damara mole-rat), 4362 nucleotides long. The record is from Ensembl. Lineage: Eukaryota; Metazoa; Chordata; Mammalia; Rodentia; Bathyergidae.